UUGCUUUUUUUGUUUUAUAAAGUGACGUACAUACAAGCUAUCCCGAGUGGGGCACGAUUAGCGAAUAUUUGAAAGCAUAAAAAGGAAAAUUAAAAUAGUUUUUAAGCUGAAAUAGCGUGUUUUGAAACUAAAAGGUUUCCCAAAGAUUGGUUCCAUAACUUUAUUCCAUUGAUUUAGCUCACGGGACAAUAGAAUCAGGUCGGGAUAUAGUGUGCAAAGUCAUUGAAAACAAAUGGGAAAUACAUGUACAUAUACAUGUAUCAAAAUGCAUCAAUCACGGGGAAAAGGGUUGAUAACUACAUUUAAACAUGAUCCUGAUAGAAAUAACAUUCGUUAUUUAAUUUAUUAAUAAUAUCAUGCAUAAUAUUAUCAUUACAGUAGAUAUAAAGUAGAUGAGCUAAUUAUGUACUCUAUCCUGUUGAUCCAGAAAUAAGAAUGUCAAUCAUUACUUCUUGCAUGUACACAGGCAUGUACCAGGUAUAUAUUUAAUUUCAACAUUAACUGUAAAGCUUCAUGAACCCUUCCAAAAUUCUCUUAAAAUUAUGAGAAGACAUUUUUUUCCUAAAAUACAGGAAUUAGCAGCAGCGGAACUAGGAAUUUCAUAACUGGGGAUGGGUUGCAGUAGUAGGUGAAGGGAUUUGGUGGCUGCAUGGAAUGGAAAAGACUUGGCGGGAAUGCAAGGGCAAAGACCCCAUAAAAUUGAGGAAAUUCCAACACCUGGCGUUAUCCCUUUGAUUUUAGAAUAGCAUAAGCAAAAUUUCAUUUAAAAAAUUCAAAGGGGUAGGGGGCACAUGCCUGUCGUGCUUGCCCUGGAUCCGCCUUUGAUUAGAUAUUGGAAAUUUUCUCAUUUGUCGUACAUGUAGUACUACAAUUUAACUGUGUCUCCUAACAGGCCCUUACUGGGACCAUAGGAUAUUCAUCAUUCAACAAAAGAACAUUUUAUCUAUUCUAUAUAUUUUCAAUUUAUGUUACAGGGCUCCAGAAGGUACUACAAAAGGACAAUGCUUCGGCUGAAUGUGUCAUCCAUGUACCAUUAUCUGUUAAUGAGGUUUAUCUCAUAGUUUUCUUACAUGAAAACUUCCAAGUAAUUAAUGAUGGAAUUCAUUUUAAAUCAGUAUGCACCAUUCUGCUACAAAUACCGGGAAGGCCGAUGGAACUGACAUCAUUCAACCCCUCAUGACACUGAUAAUUCAUUAACUGGAAGAGAAUUUCCUUUGGGACAAACUAACUGUUUCAACAUUUUUCAUCUACAAGUUGAUACUGAUGAAAUUUUGUUUGAAGUAGCUAUGAGUGCACUGAAAGUAUUCUCAGGAUCUCGUCCGACAUCACAGGUACAACUGGUCACUGUGCAUUCUUGGUUAUGUAAGCAGGCAUAUUGUGAAGGCGGUGAUAUACGUAGCUCCAAUUCAAAAUGAUGCUUGACUGUUUUCCUUCGGUUUAUAAGUAAACUUGGAUCGAUAUCUGAUGCAGUAACAUAGAGCCAUGUCAUGUUUUAAAUUACAUUUUCCAACUAUCACAGAGUACUGAAAUAAAAGCGAUUUUGAUUCAA
Saccostrea cuccullata (small rock oyster) is the source of this 1549-nucleotide long non-coding RNA. RefSeq lists it as uncharacterized. The transcript is spliced from 3 exons. NCBI's taxonomy places the organism in Eukaryota, Metazoa, Mollusca, Bivalvia, Ostreida, Ostreidae. The record is from RefSeq and is a predicted model, not a curated record.